RNAcentral lists this ribosomal RNA (911 nucleotides) under uncultured bacterium. Its description in RNAcentral is "bacterial SSU rRNA". It matches the Rfam family "Bacterial small subunit ribosomal RNA", at positions 8 to 916 of the family's 1533-position model. The record is from RNAcentral.
AGAGUUUGAUCCUGGCUCAGGACGAACGCUGGCGGCGUGCCUAACACAUGCAAGUCAAGGGGAAAAGGGUAGUAAUAUCCUGAGUACACUGGCGCACGGGUGAGUAACGCGUAGGCAAUUUGUCCACAGGACGGGGAUAAUUCAGCGAAAGCUGGAUUAAUACCCGAUGAAGCAACGACACCAUUUGGUGUUGUUGUUAAAAGCCCGUAAGGGUGCCGGUGGAUGGGCCUGCGUCCCAUUAGGUAGUUGGUAGGGUAACGGCCUACCAAGCCUGUGAUGGGUAGCUGGUCUGAGAGGAUGAUCAGCCACACUGGAACUGAGACACGGUCCAGACUCCUACGGGAGGCAGCAGUGAGGAAUAUUGCGCAAUGGCCGAAAGGCUGAUGCAGCGACGCCGCGCGAGGGAUGAAGUCCGUUAGGAUGUAAACCUCUUUUGCAGGGGAUGAAUGUUCCCGUUUAUUGGGAAUUGACAGUACCUUGCGAAUAAGGAUCGGCUAACUACGUGCCAGCAGCCGCGGUAAUACGUAGGAUCCGAGCGUUGUCCGGAAUUACUGGGUGUAAAGGGCGUGUAGGUGGAUUCCUAAGUCGGUGGUGAAAGUUUGUAGUUUAAUUGUAGAAUUGCCUUUGAUACUGGGGAUCUUGAGUGUGGCAGAGGGAGAUGGAAUUCAUGGUGUAGUGGUGAAAUGUGUAGAUAUCAUGAAGAAUAUUGGUAGCGAAGGUGGUUUCCUGGUCUGUAACUGACACUGAUGCGCGAAAGCGUGGGGAGUAAAUAGGAUUAGAUAUUCUGGUAGUCCACGUUUUAAACGAUGGGUACUAGGUGCUGGGUCGUAAGAUUCAGUGCCAAAGCUAAUGUAUUAAGUACCCCACCUGGGGAGUAUGAUCGCAAGGUUGAAACUCAAAGGAAUUGACGG